AUGGAUUGCGGAGUCCCAGCGUUGGGGAUUCCCCAUCUCCGCAGUUUCUCUUCUUCUGACAACCUGCGUCGUGUCCUUCUUCCGGAAUACUUACGACGGGGACCCAGUUCUCACUCCCAUUGGGUGUCGGGUUUCUAGAGAUGCCAAUCAGCGUCGCCGCAGUCCCGGUUCUCAAGUCCGCACUCACCCACCAGGACUCAGAUUCUCCGCAGACGCCGAGGAUGGCGGUCAUGGCGCCCCGAACCCUCCUCCUGGUGCUCUCAGGGACCCUGGCCCUGACCCAGACCCGGGCGGGCUCUCACUCCAUGAGGUAUUUCUACACCUCCGUGUCCCGGCCCGGCCGCGGGGAGCCCCGCUUCUUCGCCGUGGGCUACGUGGACGACACGCAGUUCGUGCGGUUCGACAGCGAUGCCGAGAGUCCGAGGACGGAGCCGCGGGCGCCGUGGGUGGAGCAGGAGGGUCCAGAGUAUUGGGACCAGGAGACACAGAACAUGAAGAACGCGACACAGACCUACCGAGUGAACCUGAGGACCCUGCUCCGCUACUACAACCAGAGCGAGGCCGGGUCUCACACCAUCCAGGAGAUGUACGGCUGCGACCUGGGGCCCGACGGGCGCCUCCUCCGCGGGUAUGAACAGUUCGCCUACGACGGCAGGGAUUACAUCGCCCUGAACGAGGACCUGCGCUCCUGGACCGCCGCGGACAUGGCGGCUCAGAACACCCAGCGGAAGUGGGAGGCGGCCCGUGAGGCGGAGCAGCUGAGAGCCUACCUGGAGGGGACGUGCGUGGAGUGGCUCCGCAGAUACCUGGAGAACGGGAAGGAGACGCUGCAGCGCGCGGACCCCCCCAAGACACAUGUGACCCACCACCCCGUCUCUGACCAUGAGGCCACCCUGAGGUGCUGGGCCCUGGGCUUCUACCCUGCGGAGAUCACACUGACCUGGCAGCGGGAUGGAGAGGAACAAACUCAGGACACAGAGCUCGUGGAGACCAGGCCUACAGGGGAUGGAACCUUCCAGAAGUGGGCGGCUGUGGUGGUGCCUUCUGGAGAGGAGCAGAGAUACACCUGUCAUGUGCAGCAUGAGGGUCUGCCCAAGCCCCUCACCCUGAGAUGGGAGCUGUCUUCCCAGUCCACCAUCCCCAUCGUGGGCAUCAUUGCUGGCCUGGUUCUGCUUGGAAUUGUGGUCACUGGAGCUGUGGUCGCUGCUGUGAUGUGCAGGAGGAAGAGCUCAGAUAGAUAAGGCGGGAGCUACUCUCAGGCUGCAAGCAGUGACAGUGCCCAGGGCUCUGAUGUGUCUCUCACAGCUUGUAAAGGUGAGACCCUGGGGGGCCUGAUGUGUGUGGAAUGUUGGGGGGAACAGUGGACGCAGCUGUGCUAUGGGGUUUCUUUGACUUGGAUGUAUUGAGCAUGUGAUGGGCUG
This is an RNA transcript of Piliocolobus tephrosceles (Ugandan red Colobus), 1421 nucleotides long. It is a transcript of the gene named HLA class I histocompatibility antigen, A alpha chain-like, with no coding region annotated. NCBI's taxonomy places the organism in Eukaryota, Metazoa, Chordata, Mammalia, Primates, Cercopithecidae. The transcript is spliced from 7 exons. The record is from RefSeq and is a predicted model, not a curated record.